UGGUGAAAAUUUUGGAAUCCAUCGUAUUUUUCCACAGCUUUCUUGAACUUUAUUAAUAUGAGAAGAUUGCCGCUUCGUAAUGCAAAGCGGAAUAUGGAAGAAAAAGCUCAAGAAAGCUGUGGGAAAACAUGAAUGUAUUCUGGUUAUCG
This 149-nucleotide microRNA precursor is filed under the name Amborella trichopoda. RNAcentral's name for it is "miR396b stem-loop (atr-MIR396b)". Its record names the gene atr-MIR396b. Lineage: Eukaryota; Viridiplantae; Streptophyta; Magnoliopsida; Amborellales; Amborellaceae. The record is from miRBase by way of RNAcentral.